CGUCCAGCCCGCUCAGAAACUCCAAGGAAGUUGACGGGGCCCGCACAAGCGGAGGAGCAUGUGGUUUAAUUCGAUGAUACGCGAGGAACCUUACCUGGGCUCGAACGUAAGAUGACUGUAGGUGAAAGCUUACAUCUCUUCGGAGCAUUUUACGAGGUGCUGCAUGGUUGUCGUCAGCUCGUGCCGUGAGGUGUCGGGUUAAGUCCCAUAACGAGCGCAACCCCUACCUUUAGUUGCCAUCAGGUAAUGCUGGGGACUCUAAAGGAACUGCCUACGCAAGUAGUGAGGAAGGCGGGGAUGACGUCAAAUCAGCACGGCCCUUACGUCCAGGGCUACACACGUGCUACAAUGGCCGAUACAGAGGGCAGCUACCUGGUGACAGGAUGCAAAUCUCCAAAGUCGGUCUCAGUUCGGAUCGGAGUCUGCAACCCGACUCCAUGAAGUUGGAAUCGCUAGUAAUCGUGGAUCAGCAUGCCACGGUGAAUACGUUCCCGGGCCUU
This 500-nucleotide ribosomal RNA is filed under the name uncultured Sphingobacteriales bacterium. Its description in RNAcentral is "bacterial SSU rRNA". It matches the Rfam family "Bacterial small subunit ribosomal RNA", at positions 903 to 1382 of the family's 1533-position model. The record is from RNAcentral. Lineage: Bacteria; Pseudomonadati; Bacteroidota; Sphingobacteriia; Sphingobacteriales.